GAUGAACGCUGGCGGCGUGCCUAAUACAUGCAAGUCGAGCGAACGGACGAGAAGCUUGCUUCUCUGAUGUUAGCGGCGGACGGGUGAGUAACACGUGGAUAACCUACCUAUAAGACUGGGAUAACUUCGGGAAACCGGAGCUAAUACCGGAUGAUAUUUUGAACCGCAUGGUUCAAAAGUGAAAGACGGUCUUGCUGUCACUUAUAGAUGGAUCCGCGCUGCAUUAGCUAGUUGGUAAGGUAACGGCUUACCAAGGCAACGAUGCAUAGCCGACCUGAGAGGGUGAUCGGCCACACUGGAACUGAGACACGGUCCAGACUCCUACGGGAGGCAGCAGUAGGGAAUCUUCCGCAAUGGGCGAAAGCCUGACGGAGCAACGCCGCGUGAGUGAUGAAGAUCUUCGGAUCGUAAAACUCUGUUAUUAGGGAAGAACAUAUGUGUAAGUAACUGUGCACAUCUUGACGGUACCUAAUCAGAAAGCCACGGCUAACUACGUG
This 497-nucleotide ribosomal RNA is filed under the name uncultured bacterium. RNAcentral's name for it is "partial 16S ribosomal RNA". It matches the Rfam family "Bacterial small subunit ribosomal RNA", at positions 28 to 507 of the family's 1533-position model. The record is from RNAcentral.